CCUACGGGGGGCAGCAGUAGGGAAUCUUGCGCAAUGGGCGAAAGCCUGACGCAGCCAUGCCGCGUGUAUGAUGAAGGUCUUAGGAUUGUAAAAUACUUUCACCGGGGAAGCGGUACCCGGAGAAGAAGCCCCGGCUAACUUCGUGCCAGCAGCCGCGGUAAUACGAAGGGGGCUAGCGUUGCUCGGAAUUACUGGGCGUAAAGGGCGCGUAGGCGGAUACUUAAGUCGGGGGUGAAAGCCCAGGGCUCAACCCUGGAACAGCCUUCGAUACUGGGUAUCUUGAGUACGGGAGAGGUGUGUGGAACUCCGAGUGUAGAGGUGAAAUUCGUAGAUAUUCGGAAGAACACCAGUGGCGAAGGCGACACACUGGCCCGUACUGACGCUGAGGCGCGAAAGCGUGGGGAGCAAACAGGAUUAGAUACCCCAGUAGUC
Molecule: ribosomal RNA, 432 nt
Filed under: uncultured bacterium
Lineage: Bacteria
Description: partial 16S ribosomal RNA
Rfam family: Bacterial small subunit ribosomal RNA
Source: RNAcentral